RNAcentral lists this ribosomal RNA (253 nucleotides) under uncultured bacterium. RNAcentral describes it as "partial 16S ribosomal RNA". It matches the Rfam family "Bacterial small subunit ribosomal RNA", at positions 524 to 776 of the family's 1533-position model. The record is from RNAcentral.
UACGUAGGGGGCAAGCGUUGUCCGGAAUCAUUGGGCGUAAAGCGCGUGUAGGCGGCUCGGUAAGUCUGCUCUGAAAGCCCGGGGCUCAACCCUGGGAGGCGGGUGGAUACUGCUGGGCUCGAGUCCGGAAGAGGCGAGUGGAAUUCCUGGUGUAGCGGUGAAAUGCGCAGAUAUCAGGAGGAACACCAAUGGCGAAGGCAGCUCGCUGGGACGGUACUGACGCUGAGACGCGAAAGCGUGGGGAGCAAACAGG